Hordeum vulgare subsp. vulgare (domesticated barley) is the source of this 2024-nucleotide long non-coding RNA. RefSeq lists it as uncharacterized. The record is from RefSeq and is a predicted model, not a curated record. NCBI's taxonomy places the organism in Eukaryota, Viridiplantae, Streptophyta, Magnoliopsida, Poales, Poaceae. The transcript is spliced from 10 exons.
GGAACUGGCGGGCAGGCAGCGGAUCUGGAAGAAAAGAGGUUGGAGCCGGAUGGGACGGCGUGUUCGCCGCAGACAUCAUGGCAUUACGAGUUUGGCAGUUUGAUUUAUUCACCCAUUCCCAGAUCCCUCGCCGCUCCUCUCCAAGGUUUGGAGGAGACCGCCAAUUGGUACUGCUGAUCCAUCGUGGCUGAGGCAAGGAGGCUAGGGAACAGUUGCUUCUGCAGGUGAGGGGCGUGCUCGAACAUGGAGGCAUGCGCAAUGGAGUCGAAGCUUUCCUAGGAGACGCAAAGGUUUGGAGCAGACCGUCAAUUGGUACUGCUGAUCGAUCAGGAGGUGAAUUCCCACUGUUCACGAAGGGGGCCCAUCACGUUCCUGAUGUAAUCUUCACAACCCAAUGCAGGAUCUUGGUUUCUAUGUCACGAAGAACCUAUUAUUUUCCAGGGUUCUAAAUUCUACGUGAUAAACUAGCAAAUGUUUGUUCAGUGGUGUGUUUGUAGAUGGUUUCUUCGGCCACCACCUUGCAAGAAAGGUAGCAGAAGGCUAUGAGAAAACCGUAACUUUUGAUGAUUUGCAUAGUGUUCUUCUUCAGUUGUUGGUCGGAAGCCACUUCUCAUAAAAAAUACAGAAAGUUCACUUGGUAUUUAGUUUAUAAAGGGACUCUACAAUUUUCUUAAUCAUGCACAGCAAUAUCACGUCUUUGUAUGUCUAUGUAUUAAUUCGCUGAUUUCAACACAUGGGGCAUUGAGUCUAUGGGAAAGACAUCUUUCUUGCAAAAAUGCAGAAUAAUCAUUCGGUUGUUCAUCCCAAGUAAGCAGGGGAGUGCUCCCCUGCGACGCUGCACCUUGGCCACGCUUCGACGAUUCGUACGACGGUGUGGUAAUGAGUGGAGUUGAUAAACAGAGAUAGGAGGAGCAGGAGGGGAGUCGUGGCGGGUCACGAGGCGGGGCUCCCGAUCCAAUCGGGAGCAGGACGACGACGAGCACAGGAAGGCUGCCAUGGCCAUGUUCUUCUUCCUGUCCCCACCAGCCGUGAGAGGAGGAGCAGUAGGGGAGCCGCGGCGGGCCUCCUCCAUCCCAGUCUACCAAGGGAGAGCCCGGACAGGAUUGGACUUCGCUCCUAUAAGAAGGAAGGGUCCUCGACCGUAUCUUCCAUCAGGUUAUGUGCUUGGACCUGUAUAUCUUUCAAAUCCGGGACUACUUGGACCAGAAAACAUCAUGACGCUUCGAGUUCGCUGGAGGAAGAAGAACAUUCGGCAAACCGUUCAAUAUCACCACGUAGAGCAGAAGUUUUGGAUUGGAUAGGGAGCCUCUUUCGGAGUGAACCACAUCAUAAUGCAUCCUACAUAGCUGCCAUGGAUGAAUUACGUGCUCUGGUGGUGGCUGGCCAGUCACUCCCUCCAAAUCAUGUAGCUGUGUACGGGUUUGAUGGACGCGUGCGCCGACUCAGAUAGACGGACUCCACGAUCACCAUGAGGUGGGGAGAGCAAGGAGGUUGCUGAUUUUUCGGGAAGCGGUGGCGAUCUGACAUGGAUUACGUGGGAUGAGAAAGAUCAAGCUCGACAAGAAGUUGUGAAUGUGAGGACAGGAGAGGAAGGUGUAGAUGACGGUGCGGGGGUGUGCUUGCUGCUGGUUAGGCUUUUGUGUUUCAUAGAAAAGAGAUAGUGUACAGGUCAAACUAAGCUUAUUUCUAGGAGCCCACGAGCAGAAAGAGAUGGCUACUUUCAUGGACAUUGAAGGUCUGCAUGCUUCACGGCCGUAUCUUGAUUCCACACAACAUUAAGGAAGUUCUCCAAUGCUGGAAUAAAGCUCAAUGCACCAAGAACAACAUCAGUUGAAGUAACAUUUCCUAUAUAUUGUAUUCUGAGCAUUGGAUUGAGCUCAUGUGUGAAGCUUAUGUAUUGUUUACUUUGUAAAAUGUGUGAUAAUGACGUGUCAGACUUAUGGAUUGUGGAGACCAAAUUUAUGUGACAUUUUUGGAAUGUGAGACCUGAUUAAAUGUGGGUCAGAUUAUUUGGUUUUUGAGCA